RNAcentral lists this non-coding RNA (45 nucleotides) under Schistosoma haematobium. Lineage: Eukaryota; Metazoa; Platyhelminthes; Trematoda; Strigeidida; Schistosomatidae. RNAcentral also lists the same sequence under 1 other name. The record is from RNAcentral.
AUUUAGCUGACGAAUCCUAAAUAGAACGAAAUGAGCGUUCUGGAU